Long non-coding RNA from Astatotilapia calliptera (eastern happy), 3552 nucleotides. The record is from Ensembl. Lineage: Eukaryota; Metazoa; Chordata; Actinopteri; Cichliformes; Cichlidae.
UUUCUCUUCUCUGAGUCUUUACUGAAGAAGUGUUUUAGAAUAUAUUUCUUAACAGCUGGCAUUAUGCUAACUGUCCUGAGGACUCAACCACAAAGGUUCCAUCUGCUGCACUGUCCAUACCACCGUCCAGUACAACUGCAGAACCUCAGGCAUCAUCAGCCGAUGGUGCAGCCUCAAGUGUGAAGAGGAAGUCACCUGCGCCCCUCCCACAGGAGCUGGCAUUUCUACUUAAGGAGACCACAGGACCGAGUACAGAUGCUGCUUCCACAUCUGUGUGCAAAGUGCUGACUUUUGAAGACAGCAGUGAAGAUGAUCCUUCAGCUCAGCCAGCUGUUCCAGUUCCAGUGGCUGGUUAUGAGUAUGACCUCAGCAGCUGGAAUUGUUCUACUCACCAGCAGCUGUGGAUGAAGACUGAGCUUCAGGACCUUGGACUGUGGCCUGGGUCUCGACCAGUGCGUCACGCAGGGAACGCGACUUCACUCUGGCGUCUCCCUCCACAGCCUGAGCUCAUAGAUACAGUGGCUGACCUACCAUCGCCAAAUUUCUUCCAGCUCCACCCCUUCUUCAGCCUUCUUCUCCAACCUGAGAGUGUUAGUGCUAUCAUGGUCAGGUUAAGAAACAAUUAUAUCUUGCCAUGUCUCCAUGAUUGCUUUGGUUCACAAGUGGUCUCUGCUGGUGUGGGCAGGCCACGAGUAAUUGUUGGCACCAGUGGUCAGUAUUACAUCCUGUCCUCACGACUCUGCUGCAGGGCUUGUCGCAGGAACUGGUUUGCUGACAAUCCACGAUGGCUGGAGAAACUGCCCAAAAGGUUUACCAACCUUCUCCCUGCUUUUCUUACAUAUAAAAAGGCCAUCUGCAAGUCUGUUAUGGAUAAGCUCAGGAGGACUGGGAAAUCUCCAGCAGAUAUUGCAAAACAAUUAAAUGAACUCAUGCACCUCAAGUACGAGCGAGCUCACCUGGCGUACCUCCAUGCCACAGAAUCGGUCUGGGAUUCUGAGGCAGGAGCCCAUGGACAGAGGACCAUUGGGAAGUUCCUGAGGAAGGAAAAUAAGCCACAGGAGUUCAGGUCUUAUGAAGACCCACAUGCCUGGUGUGGUGUUUCUGUGUCCAGCCAUUACCUGACUGACUGCCUGCUCGACGAAUUCCGACGUCAACAUCCAGUCAUAUCCAAACUCCUCCAGGCCACAUCUUCAGGUCUGACCACACCAGGAAGGUGGCACGAAAAGUCACGCUGGCAUCUGGGGUCAUGUCCAGUUAUUACAUAAUGAAUGAAAACUGGCUGAGUGUUUCGUGGGUCAUGGUUCAGUCUGAGACAGAAAGGUCUCAGACUGAACCAUGUACCAGGGAAUGGCCAAAAGGUACAGUGAUGCAGGAGUGGAAAAGGCCGGCUACCACUGGUACCAGUGGACCCGUUCCACUGCCUGAGGCGAGUGGAGUGAACCUCUGAGCAUCAUCCUCUGUUCAGCACUUUCUGCCAGCUUCUCUCUGCUGCAUUCUCAGUGGUUGAUCAGGCGGACCUGAAGAGGCUCCAGGAUGCUUAUAAGUUUUGUGGCAUCCAUCCUGCUAAUCCCACAAAGCAACACAUAUGGGAGCACUGCAGGAUCCAAAUACCACAACCCACUGAGCUGCUGAACAGAGCGGAAAAGAUCCUGAAUCAUUUUCACCUGGCCACAGACCCCAACAAUGUCCCACUCUUCAAGCCAUCCAUGCUGAAGACGUGGUGCAUUCAGAGAGUCCACAUUCUGCGUGGCUGCCUCAGUGACCCUGAACUCUCAGAGGGUGUAAUGUUUAGGUACGGUGGGACUCUUCAGCUUAACCAUGUCCCUGGUGAAGGUGCCAAGGUCCCCAUCUGGAUUCCUGUCCGAGGCACUUCACAGCAGGAGGGUUAUCAUUUCCACCAGGCCCAGUGGAUUACCGGGACUCAUGUAUCCAAUGAACUAUUCCAAGUCCAGGGCAUGACAGGGGUGGCACGAUGGAACUACCAAAGACUGGUGGACCUUAAGCAUCCAGGUGUCAUUCUCCCUUCUGUUUUUGAUCCAGCUCUAGUGGUGGAGUUGAAUGCAGCCUCCAGAAGAGUGACUGAUCAGGAGAAGUACCCUGCACUUCACCUCUCUGACAGAGACACUGGAGAGCGAUUUGGGCUUGAACACAGAGAGCCAGGCUGCCGUCCAGUCCCUCUGAACUGGGACAAACACAAAACCCUGAGAAAAGAUGAACCGGCUGCCCUUCAGCCCCCAUCCUCUGUUCCAAAACCUGUGGCUGCCCAACUUCAGGUUCCAGCAGCAGGACCCUCCUCCAGCCUGGCACCGCUAGGUGUGGCAUCCCCCACACCAGCACCACCUGUCACCCACCCUUUCUCUGGUGCACUUUUAAAGCAGGAGUUAGCAUCAGAAGACACCCAGCAACCUACAACAGUCAUGGAAAUCUCUGAAGCUCUACCUCUGCCGAUGCGGGCCUCACCAAGGAGUGCUCGCACUGGACCUAUAAAGACAGGUGGACGGGUUUUUGUGCUGGACCACACAUGCUGGACACGACCCAUGAAAGAGGCAAUAGAUGAUCUGUUGCAAAAGUACCAUGGGAAGAAGGACAUCCUGAAGCUUGUGGAUCAAGAUUAUGCAGACAUGGUCCAUCACUCGGCUACAGAUCCCAACAGCCUGCUGCGUCCCACAUCCAAGGUGCACAUAUCCUGGUAGUUGAAGCACUUGGCUAAGCUUCUCAACACCAGUUCAUCUUUGAACAUAAGCCCAGAAAAACUACUGGAGACUCAGCAGCUGUGGCACUCUUUAACUGAAGGCAGUGAAACAACUAGUGUCCCUGUAAUCACCAUAGAGCCUGCCGCGUUUAACCCACCUCCUCCUGCCCCGUCUACACCACUGACACAAGUCUCAACAGAGAAGAUUGUGGACGGCAUCUUAGAAAGGCAACAGCAGCAGCAGCCACAGCAGCAGCCUGAGGGGAAAAAGGGCAGACAAAGACUUGUCUUGCCUGUGGACAGCCCAAGUCUCAAUGUGAGACAGAUGGAUCCACCGUCGAUUAUUUUUACCAGAGAGGGCCUGUGCGCUAUUUCUACAGUUCCCACAAGGUGCAUCAAACUUAUGCUGCUGAGGGAAUCACUAACCCUAAAAUGACCUUUGAGGAAUUUGCCCAGACAGACUUUUUCCAAAGGGAACUGGAUGCUACCAGGAAGAGGUCAGAGGAAAGGAUGGAGAAAAAGAGGAAAAGGCCAGAAACCCAACAAACAGGCCGCCUCUGCAGGUUCUGCCACAUGGACCUGAAACAGGGCCCAAAUAGCUCACAUGUUCACACAGGCUUCCCUGGAGUGGCAGGGAAAUAUAUCUACUGCCCUUCAAAAGUGCACUCUCUGCCCGGGCACAAGGGCUUGGCCAAGGGGAUGACCUGGAAGGAGUUUCAGGAGUCUCCUUUUUAUGAGGCAGAGAGACAAAGAUGGGUGGAAGAAAAGAGGAAAUAGGGGAGAAACUGUUGAUAUUGUACAUAAUAUAGUUUUGUUCUAGUUUUGUAAUGUUUAUUUUGUUUAUAUAAAUAAAAACUGAU